This 445-nucleotide ribosomal RNA is filed under the name uncultured bacterium. Its description in RNAcentral is "partial 16S ribosomal RNA". It matches the Rfam family "Bacterial small subunit ribosomal RNA", at positions 354 to 796 of the family's 1533-position model. The record is from RNAcentral.
GUGAGGAAUAUUGCGCAAUGGAGGCAACUCUGACGCAGCCAUGCCGCGUGCAGGAAGAAGGCGCUACGCGUUGUAAACUGCUUUUAACCGGGAAGAAACCCCAGGACGUGUCCUGGGUUGACGGUACCGGAGGAAUAAGCACCGGCUAACUGCGUGCCAGCGGCCGCGGUCAUACGAAGGGUGCAAGCGUUAUCCGGAUUCAUUGGGCUUAUAGGGUGAGUAGGCGGAGCGUUAAGUCAGUGGUGAAAUCCUGCAGCUUAGCUGUAGGCUUGCAGUGGAUACUGGGGCACUUGAGUGAGCUUGAAGAGGGCGGAAUGUGCCGUGUAGCGGUGAAAUGCUUAGAUAUGGCACAGAACACCAAUUGCGAAGGCAGCUCACUAAGGCGAUACUGACACUGAGGCACGAAAGCGUGGGGAUCGAACAGGAUUAGAUACCCUGGUAGUCC